AACGAACGCUGGCGGCAUGCCUAACACAUGCAAGUCGAACGAGACCUUCGGGUCUAGUGGCGCACGGGUGCGUAACGCGUGGGAACCUGCCCUUAGGUUCGGAAUAACUCCCCGAAAGGGGUGCUAAUACCGGAUAAUGUCUUCGGACCAAAGAUUUAUCGCCGUUGGAUGGGCCCGCGUUGGAUUAGCUAGUUGGUAGGGUAAAAGCCUACCAAGGCGACGAUCCAUAGCUGGUCUGAGAGGAUGAUCAGCCACACUGGGACUGAGACACGGCCCAGACUCCUACGGGAGGCAGCAGUGGGGAAUAUUGGACAAUGGGCGAAAGCCUGAUCCAGCAAUGCCGCGUGAGUGAUGAAGGCCUGAGGGUUGUAAAGCUCUUUUACCCGGGAUGAUAAUGACAGUACCGGGAGAAUAAGCUCCGGCUAACUCCGUG
Molecule: ribosomal RNA, 433 nt
Filed under: uncultured bacterium
Lineage: Bacteria
Description: partial 16S ribosomal RNA
Rfam family: Bacterial small subunit ribosomal RNA
Source: RNAcentral